This 605-nucleotide ribosomal RNA is filed under the name uncultured bacterium. RNAcentral's name for it is "bacterial SSU rRNA". The stretch from base 1 to 518 matches the Rfam family "Bacterial small subunit ribosomal RNA", at positions 338 to 873 of the family's 1533-position model. The record is from RNAcentral.
CCUACGGGAGGCAGCAGUGGGGAAUCUUGCGCAAUGGGCGAAAGCCUGACGCAGCCAUGCCGCGUGAAUGAUGAAGGUCUUAGGAUUGUAAAAAUUCUUUCACCGGGGACGAUAAUGACGGUACCCGGAGAAGAAGCCCCGGCUAACUUCGUGCCAGCAGCCGCGGUAAUACGAAGGGGGCUAGCGUUGCUCGGAAUUACUGGGCGUAAAGGGAGCGUAGGCGGAUAGUUUAGUCAGAGGUGAAAGCCCAGGGCUCAACCUUGGAAUUGCCUUUGAUACUGGCUAUCUUGAGUAUGGGAGAGGUUAGCGGAACUCCGAGUGUAGAGGUGAAAUUCGUAGAUAUUCGGAAGAACACCAGUGGCGAAGGCGGCUAACUGGCCCAUUACUGACGCUGAGGCUCGAAAGCGUGGGGAGCAAACAGGAUUAGAUACCCUGGUAGUCCACGCCGUAAACGAUGAGUGCUAGUUGUCGGCAUGCAUGCAUGUCGGUGACGCAGCUAACGCAUUAAGCACUCCGCCCUGGGGGAGGUACGGUCGCAGAUAAACUACAAANAGAAGUUAGUACGGCGUGAGACGUGCCGACGGACGACGACGAGGGAGGUUAGG